Molecule: ribosomal RNA, 94 nt
Filed under: uncultured bacterium
Lineage: Bacteria
Description: partial 16S ribosomal RNA
Rfam family: Bacterial small subunit ribosomal RNA
Source: RNAcentral
CCGCCCGUCACAUCACGAAAGUGGAUUGUACUAGAAGUCUGCAGGCUAACCCGCAAGGGGGCAGCGGCCCAAGGUAUGAUUCAUGAUUGGGGUG